GGGUGAGUAACGCGUAAGGAACUUGCCUCUUGGACUGGGACAACUGUUGGAAACGACAGCUAAUACCGGAUAUUAUGAGAUUCUCGCAUGAGAAACUUAUGAAAGCUAUAUGCGCCAAGAGAGAGCCUUGCGUUCCAUUAGCUAGUUGGUGGGGUAACGGCCCACCAAGGCGACGAUGGAUAGCCGGCCUGAGAGGGUGAACGGCCACAAGGGGACUGAGACACGGCCCUUACUCCUACGGGAGGCAGCAGUGGGGAAUAUUGGACAAUGGGCCACAAGCCUGAUCCAGCAAUUCUGUGUGCACGAUGAAGGUCUUCGGAUUGUAAAGUGCUUUCAGUUGGGAAGAAGAAAGUGACGGUACCAACAGAAGAAGCGACGGCUAAAUACGUGCCAGCAGCCGCGGUAAUACGUAUGUCGCAAGCGUUAUCCGGAUUUAUUGGGCGUAAAGCGCGUCUAGGCGGAAAAAUAAGUCUGAUGUUAAAAUGCGGGGCUCAACUCCGUAUUGCGUUGGAAACUGUUUUUCUAGAGUACUGGAGAGGUGGGCGGAACUACAAGUGUAGAGGUGAAAUUCGUAGAUAUUUGUAGGAAUGCCGAUGGAGAAGUCAGCUCACUGGACAGAUACUGACGCUGAAGCGCGAAAGCGUGGGGAGCAAACA
This 656-nucleotide ribosomal RNA is filed under the name uncultured bacterium. RNAcentral describes it as "bacterial SSU rRNA". It matches the Rfam family "Bacterial small subunit ribosomal RNA", at positions 104 to 774 of the family's 1533-position model. The record is from RNAcentral.